GACGAACGCUGGCGGCGUGCUUAACACAUGCAAGUCGAACGGAAAGGCCCUGCUUUUGUGGGGUGCUCGAGUGGCGAACGGGUGAGUAACACGUGAGUAACCUGCCCUUGACUUUGGGAUAACUUCAGGAAACUGGGGCUAAUACCGGAUAGGAGCUCCUGCUGCAUGGUGGGGGUUGGAACGUUUCGGCGGUUGGGGAUGGACUCGCGGCUUAUCAGCUUGUUGGUGGGGUAGUGGCUUACCAAGGCUUUGACGGGUAGCCGGCCUGAGAGGGUGACCGGCCACAUUGGGACUGAGAUACGGCCCAGACUCCUACGGGAGGCAGCAGUGGGGAAUAUUGCACAAUGGGCGGAAGCCUGAUGCAGCAACGCCGCGUGCGUGAUGACGGCCUUCGGGUUGUAAACCGCUUUCGCCUGUGACGAAGCGUGAGUGACGGUAAUGGGUAAAGAAGCACCGGCUAACUACGUG
Molecule: ribosomal RNA, 468 nt
Filed under: uncultured bacterium
Lineage: Bacteria
Description: partial 16S ribosomal RNA
Rfam family: Bacterial small subunit ribosomal RNA
Source: RNAcentral